UUUGUUUCUUUUUUUUUUCUUCCUCUUUUUUAGACCUUUUUACAUAAACACAGAGGAUAAAUUGCUCAACCAGUUUUGUUGUAACACCUGUGACAAUGACAAUAAAGAACUCUGAUACGAUCUGCUGGACAAGGUUACAAGCCUGCUCAUGCACAGCAGGCUCCUCUGAGGGGAGGAGCUUUGAAGGCAGGACUGCAGGCAGCAGAGAGGAAGAAGGAGGGACCUGGGAGCUGGAUCAUACUAAUAUUCUGACCAAGUCUACUUUUUUUUCUCAACACUCCAGACUGCAGCUUUCAAUGCUUUAUAAGGUUGCUGAUGUUGAAGUUAGCAACAUUCAUGCCACCCCUUGAAAUUACGGCCUUGCAUACUGAACAUGCUGCGGUUUUAACUACUUCUUUGCCGCUCUAAAAACAGUUGUUACAAGAGGCAGCACUGCGCAACUUCCUGUAUUGGCUUCUAAAGAAGCCAAAAAUAAUUGAUUUCCAGUGCUAAUUGAGCUAGCUGGGGAAUAGCAUGGUCCUAUUUCUAAAUGAUGUGGUAUCUGAAAGGUAUAUAGACUCACAUACUCGCUGAUUCCGAUACCUGCAUUUUUGGCAGUAUCGGUGGAUUUCCAAUGCUGGUAUCUGAAUUGGCACAAAUCUAUUUUAGACAAUGCAUUUUAUUCUUAAAUUGUAAAAUGUCCUGUCUCCAGUACAUAUUUUAUAACCACACUUGAUUAUUAUUUAUUCAUUACUUAAUACCUAUGUUGUCAUUAGUCCCAAAAAUCACAAGUUGGUCUGUAAUUUCUACAUGGUAUCACAAAUGAAUUGAAUUCAAUGAAUUGAUUUGAAUAUCAAAAAGUUGUGUGUGUUUACUUUGUGUGUUCAUGAAAGGGAAGUAGCUACUCUUUGCCCUACUGUUGUAAAUGUAAAUCAGUUUGGAGUUUGAACCUGAUGUGUGGAAAGAGUCUGAUUUUUAAAGGUUAAACUGAACAAGCAUCACGAUUGUCAAGCUUUCAAGAGAAUAAAAGCAGCGUGCUUUA
Molecule: long non-coding RNA, 1021 nt
Organism: Acanthopagrus latus (yellowfin seabream)
Lineage: Eukaryota; Metazoa; Chordata; Actinopteri; Spariformes; Sparidae
Exons: 2
Source: RefSeq, a predicted model, not a curated record